Molecule: ribosomal RNA, 497 nt
Filed under: uncultured bacterium
Lineage: Bacteria
Description: partial 16S ribosomal RNA
Rfam family: Bacterial small subunit ribosomal RNA
Source: RNAcentral
GAUGAACGCUGGCGGCGUGCCUAAUACAUGCAAGUCGAGCGAACAGACGAGGAGCUUGCUCCUCUGACGUUAGCGGCGGAAGGGUGAGUAACACGUGGAUAACCUACCUAUAAGACUGGGAUCACUUCGGGAAACCGGAGCUAAUACCGGAUAAUAUAUUGAACCGCAUGGUUCAAUAGUGAAAGACGGUUUUGCUGUCACUUAUAGAUGGAUCCGCGCCGCAUUAGCUAGUUGGUAAGGUAACGGCUUACCAAGGCAACGAUGCGUAGCCGACCUGAGAGGGUGAUCGGCCACACUGGAACUGAGACACGGUCCAGACUCCUACGGGAGGCAGCAGUAGGGAAUCUUCCGCAAUGGGCGAAAGCCUGACGGAGCAACGCCGCGUGAGUGAUGAAGGUCUUCGGAUCGUAAAACUCUGUUAUUAGGGAAGAACAAAUGUGUAAGUAACUAUGCACGUCUUGACGGUACCUAAUCAGAAAGCCACGGCUAACUACGUG